This 225-nucleotide long non-coding RNA is filed under the name Musa acuminata (dwarf banana). RNAcentral describes it as "long non-coding RNA (MACU_LNC011686)". The record is from RNAcentral. Lineage: Eukaryota; Viridiplantae; Streptophyta; Magnoliopsida; Zingiberales; Musaceae.
UCCCAAAGGCAACCAAAUCUAUUAGAGAAUUACUCCAAGUUGGGGUGAAAACUUCUUGCAUUCCAGAAGUUCGAUGGUAUUGAGAAGGUGAAUCACAGUAGCUAACUCAACGCAAGGAGUGCAAACACUUUAAGUGCUUCAGAAGUGUGAGCAAAGAGCAGGCGAAGGCUAGUAACCAGCUCGAUGCAUGGAGUACAAUCUCGAGGAGGCGGGCGAAGUCAAGUA